RNAcentral lists this long non-coding RNA (1317 nucleotides) under Oryctolagus cuniculus (rabbit). Its description in RNAcentral is "lncRNA (ENSOCUG00000030704.1)". The record is from RNAcentral. Lineage: Eukaryota; Metazoa; Chordata; Mammalia; Lagomorpha; Leporidae.
GAUUCGGCGCUCUCACCGCCGCGGCCCGGGUUCGAUUCCCGGUCAGGGAAGCCUUUCUUCUUCCUCGGAGGGCUGGCGUGUGUGCUCUGCCUCCCGCAGUACAGCCCGCCCACUUUUGCACAACCACGCAGCCAACUGCUUGUGCAAUGGGGCAACGCACACUGCGCCCCAGCCCCGGCCCCGGCCCCGGCCCAAGCUCUGUGCCUCUGCCUCCGCGGCCGCCCUCAGCUGCUGUCCUUUUCGCCAGCUGCGCCACCUCAGGACAUUCGGCCGCUCCCCACCUCCAGGCUGCUCGCUGUCCCCCUGCUCCCGCGCCUCCCCUGCCAGCCUUUCUGCGACACUCCUGGGCAGCCGGAACACCCCCAACCCAGACGUGGGCACGCGCGCACCAACACACAGCCACCCGCACACCCAGGAUGCCACAAUUCCGGAACAGCCGCACCCCACUCCACACACAGGGACCGGUGCCUGCACGCACUCGGCCUCACGUCCUCACUCACGACAUCACCGCCGCCGGCACCACGCACAGGAACGCGUGUGCUUCUGCGUGCGCGCGCACACACACACACACACACACACAGACACACACACACACAGAGAGACACAGAGGGCACGCCUUCUCUCCCUGCCCGUUGGGCCAGGUGCCAGGUGCCGCGUGCCAUGGCCUCCGUGGGUCUGAGAGUCACCAAGCAGCCCAGGGUGCAGUUGCUUUGGUUUUCCCACCGUGAGCCGAUCCAGGCUCCCAGGUGGGCUCGGGGCUUGAACACGUGGGAGCUGUCCCAGAGGGGCCCUGCACUUGGCACCCCUCCCCGCCUCCACCCCCCAGGAUGCAGGAUGCAGGAUGCAGGAUGCAGGAUGCAGAUGCGAGACCAGCAGGCUGGAGAGGGCCGGCAAGCUGGAGCCCUGGGCAAUGCCGGCGGCUGGCCAUCGGUGAGGGAGCCUCCUCCUCCGGGAGGAGGUGGGAGAGGGCUUGCGGACAGCCCGAGAGCCGAGAUGACAGCCAGCCAGUGUGUGGGGACAAGGUGGAGGAGAGGGGAGCGGCAUACGCUGGCGUUUCACCGUGGGCUCUCUCCGCACGGGAGGGAACCGACCCUCCCGGUCCCCGUCGCGGGCCACGCCACCACGGAUUUGGUAGCACGUUCCAAUCCCCGCCUCAUCUCUGAGCUCGCGCUCUCUGCGUCCCGAUUGACGCCUCGAUCCCUGCAUGCGGUUCUCUGCCCUACUCUGUGCCGGCUCGGCCCUCGUCAAGUAGCGGCUCCGGCUCCUUGUGCCCACACAGGACCUCCAGGGCAAGGGCGGAGCUGCCCAGCCGCUUAG